RNAcentral lists this ribosomal RNA (253 nucleotides) under uncultured bacterium. RNAcentral's name for it is "partial 16S ribosomal RNA". It matches the Rfam family "Bacterial small subunit ribosomal RNA", at positions 524 to 776 of the family's 1533-position model. The record is from RNAcentral.
UACGGAGGGGGCUAGCGUUGUUCGGAAUUACUGGGCGUAAAGCGCACGUAGGCGGACUUUUAAGUCGGGGGUGAAAUCCCAGGGCUCAACCCUGGAACUGCCUUCGAUACUGGAGGUCUGGAGGUCGAGAGAGGCGAGUGGAAUGCCGAGUGUAGAGGUGAAAUUCGUAGAUAUUCGGCGGAACACCAGUGGCGAAUGUGGCUCGCUGGCGCGAUAGUGACGCUGAGGUGCGAAAGCGUGGGGAGCAAACAGG